This 270-nucleotide ribosomal RNA is filed under the name uncultured bacterium. Its description in RNAcentral is "partial 16S ribosomal RNA". It matches the Rfam family "Bacterial small subunit ribosomal RNA", at positions 524 to 794 of the family's 1533-position model. The record is from RNAcentral.
UACGUAGGGGGCUAGCGUUAUCCGGAAUUAUUGGGCGUAAAGGGUGCGUAGGCGGUCCUACAAGUCAGAGGUGAAAGGCUACGGCUCAACCGUAGUGAGCCUUUGAAACUGUAGGACUUGAGUGCAGGAGGGGAGAGUGGAAUUCCCAGUGUAGCGGUGAAAUGCGUAGAUAUUGGGAGGAACACCAGUUGCGAAGGCGGCUCUCUGGACUGUAACUGACGCUGAGGCACGAGAGCGUGGGGAGCGAACAGGAUUAGAAACCCCUGUAGU